AGAUUAAGCCAUGCAUGUCUAAGUAUAAGCACUUAUACCGUGAAACUGCGAAUGGCUCAUUAAAUCAGUUAUCGUUUAUUUGAUAGUACCUUACUACUUGGAUAACCGUGGUAAUUCUAGAGCUAAUACAUGCUGAAAACCCCGACUUCGGAAGGGGUGUAUUUAUUAGAUAAAAAACCAAUGCCCUUCGGGGCUUCUUGGUGAAUCAUAAUAACUUCUCAGAUCGCAUGGCCUUGCGCCGGCGACGGUUCAUUCAAAUUUCUGCCCUAUCAACUUUCGAUGGUAAGGUAUUGGCUUACCAUGGUUUCAACGGGUAACGGGGAAUUAGGGUUCGAUUCCGGAGAGGGAGCCUGAGAAACGGCUACCACAUCCAAGGAAGGCAGCAGGCGCGCAAAUUACCCAAUCCCGACACGGGGAGGUAGUGACAAUAAAUACUGAUACAGGGCUCUUUUGGGUCUUGUAAUUGGAAUGAGUACAAUUUAAACCUCUUAACGAGGAACAAUUGGAGGGCAAGUCUGGUGCCAGCAGCCGCGGUAAUUCCAGCUCCAAUAGCGUAUAUUAAAGUUGUUGCAGUUAAAAAGCUCGUAGUUGAACCUUUGGCCUGGCUGGCAGGUCCGCCUCACCGCGUGUACUUGUCCGGCCGGGCCUUUUCUUCUGGAGAACCGCAUGCCCUUCACUGGGUGUGUUGGGGACCAGGACUUUUACUUUGAAAAAAUUAGAGUGUUCAAAGCAGGCCUUUGCUCGAAUACGUUAGCAUGGAAUAAUAGAAUAGGACGUGCGGUCCUAUUUUGUUGGUUUCUAGGACCGCCGUAAUGAUUAAUAGGGACAGUCGGGGGCAUCAGUAUUCAAUUGUCAGAGGUGAAAUUCUUGGAUUUAUUGAAGACUAACUACUGCGAAAGCAUUUGCCAAGGAUGUUUUCAUUAAUCAGUGAACGAAAGUUAGGGGAUCGAAGACGAUCAGAUACCGUCGUAGUCUUAACCAUAAACUAUGCCGACUAGGGAUCGGGCGGUGUUUCUAUUUUGACUCGCUCGGCACCUUACGAGAAAUCAAAGUGUUUGGGUUCUGGGGGGAAUAUGGUCGCAAGGCUGAAACUUAAAGAAAUUU
RNAcentral lists this ribosomal RNA (1104 nucleotides) under Bambusicola fusispora. Its description in RNAcentral is "SSU rRNA". It matches the Rfam family "Eukaryotic small subunit ribosomal RNA", at positions 41 to 1155 of the family's 1831-position model. Lineage: Eukaryota; Fungi; Ascomycota; Dothideomycetes; Pleosporales; Bambusicolaceae. The record is from RNAcentral.